UAGGGAAUAUUGGACAAUGGGCGCAAGCCUGAUCCAGCCAUCCCGCGUGAAGGAUGAAGGCGCUCUGCGUCGUAAACUUCUUUUCUCUGGGAAUAAAAAGCGGAAUUUAUUCUGCCUUGAAGGUACCAGAGGAAUAAGCACCGGCUAACUCCGUGCCAGCAGCCGCGGUAAUACGGAGGGUGCAAGCGUUAUCCGGAUUCACUGGGUUUAAAGGGUGCGUAGGUGGCUUUGUAAGUCAGUGGUGAAAGCCCGGAGCUUAACUCCGGAACUGCCAUUGAUACUGCUUAGCUUGAAUCAAGUAGAGGUGGAUGGAAUAUUACAUGUAGCGGUGAAAUGCUUAGAGAUGUAAUAGAACACCGAUUGCGAAGGCAGUUCACUAUGCUUGUAUUGACACUGAGGCACGAAAGCGUGGGGAUCAAACAGGAUUAGAUACCCGCGUAGUCC
RNAcentral lists this ribosomal RNA (444 nucleotides) under uncultured bacterium. RNAcentral's name for it is "bacterial SSU rRNA". It matches the Rfam family "Bacterial small subunit ribosomal RNA", at positions 355 to 796 of the family's 1533-position model. The record is from RNAcentral.